RNAcentral lists this unclassified non-coding RNA (363 nucleotides) under uncultured bacterium. Its description in RNAcentral is "contains 16S-23S intergenic spacer region". The record is from RNAcentral.
UCCCCGUUACCGGGGCAGUCUGAAUAGAAAAAUUCAACUAUUCAUAGGGGUUGCGCUCGUUAAUGGACUUAACCAAACAUCUCACGACACGAGCUGACGACGGCCAUGCAGCACCUGUCACCGAGUUCAAUAAAGCACUCACUUCUUUCGAAGUAAUUCUCGGGAUGUCAAACCCUGGUAAGGUUUAUCGUUUACCAUCGAAUUAAAGAACAUGCUCCACCGCUUGUGCGGGUCCCCGUCAAUUCCUUUAUGUUUUAGCCUUGCGGCCGUACUCCACAGGCGGGAUGCUUAACGCGUUAGCUUCGCUACGGAAGGGGUCGAUACCCCCCACAGCUAGCAUCCAUCGUUUACGGCGUGGACUAC